AAAGACUUGGCAUUUGAUCCUCAGUGCACAGACAAGUGUCUCUGAAUGCAGGAAGCUUUUGAAUGCCCCUCCCCAUCUUGCAGUCUUAGAAACUGGGCUUGUUUUGGGUGGGAGAAGGAUGAUAUGAAGGUUUACAGCGUAAGAACCAUUACCCAGAAGUGCUGAUACCCAAGAUAGUUGAGGUCGGAUGGAGAAGUGGUGAGCCUCAAGCUCUUUCAGACAAUGCCAGCCAACCAUCCUGAGACCUGGAAACCAGCAUCACGGAAAGCGCCCCACAGCGGAAGUAUUAGUCACGCGCUGCACUGCACUUAGAGUUGCAACCUUAGAGGAAAACGCCGUCUUACUCCGAGAACGAAGUGUAAACAACUACUCACUAAUCAUCUACAAUUGUCUAGGCAAUGAGGCAAAUGGAAAGACAUUAAGAAGCCAACAGUGAAUCAGCGACACAUAUGACAGCAGGAAAUAAGGAACACUGGCCAGCAAGCCAUGCUGAAAUUAGUUGCUGUCAUUGGAGCCACUCCCACUGCUGGUCACUUCGUGCCUGAGACCUUCGCUAACCAUAUCCAAGCAGCCUUUAGUGGAGUCACCUCUUCUAAUGGUAACUGAUCUCAGUUGCUGACCACCAGUCCCUCACAGUGGCGUCUUUUGUCAAGCUACCCACCACUGCUCUGUGUAACAGACUCUCCUCUGUGCUACAUGGACAUUGCCAUCCUAUACAACAAGAAAGAUCACUCAGUGGAUCUGACAUGCUGGAUGCAGGUUCAGAAGGAAUUCCACAUGUCUGACACUGUCUCCCAUGGGCACCUAUGGGAGGUUAUGCCUAAUCUUUACUCUAUAGAGACCCAGAGGAGGUUGAGAAGAAGGAGUUGGCUGCUGCCAAGAGGAUGAAUUUCAGGGUGAAUGGACCAUACCAUCUCUCCUGAGCUCACUCACAGCUGGUAAGCCAGAGGUGGCAGACUGGUCAGAGAGCAUGUGUCCUCUGUACCCAUCCAACGUUUCUCUACUGAAAACUGGAGUGCUCAGCCAGCCACUGAGGACUACUGAGACGCUCCCACUGAGUGCAGGCCACCGAGUGAGCUGGAGUCACCACUGAGUGGCCCUGAGAGACCUGAGCAAACAGAAAAAUAAAAAAAAAAUAAAUGGAAGGAAAAUAAAGUUCCCAAAUGCUGGGGGGAAAAGCAUUAUAUGAAAUUGUCAAAGAAUUAAUAGAAACAUUGUUUAAAAGGACUCCAAAGUAUUUAAUACUAUUGAACUAUCUGACUAAAAAUUGUUACUGUGGUCAACUAUAUACUGUGCAAAACUUCCCACAGUCCAAGAAAUAUAUGUGAAAUAAUUUGAAUAUAAUUACAAAAGUGGAAGAAGCAAUCUACUCUCCCUAUUGAUGACGAAAACAGUUUUUGGAAUUGCAGGUAUCAGCCAAUGACCCUCUUCCCUCCAGAGCCAUCUCAACCUUCACAACUGCUAGGACCUGAUCUCAGUAUAUGGAGUUCCAGGGCUGAAGAAAGGAGCAGGAGAUUGACUCUUCUAAACUUGCUGCUUGCUUCUGCAACAGACACAGUAGAUGGAAGUUUGCCAGGACCCAGCCUCUAGGAUCGCCGCAUAUCGGUGGAGAACCAUCAGUUGUUUCACAAAAGACAUCAUCGAGGGAAGAAUCGUGAUGCCCUCAGCGAGACAUGAGCACACAGCUUGGAGCAGCCUCCUCUACCACAAAGCUACUACCAGAGUCAUCUAAAAAGUUUCUCUGAUAUAAAAAUAAAAUGUAUGAAGAACAAGCUUCUAAAUAUCUUUGUGACUAUAUAAAGUAGGAAACAAGGUCAAUGUAACUUAAAAUAAUACAUGAAUUUUAAAGACA
Molecule: long non-coding RNA, 1852 nt
Organism: Mus musculus (house mouse)
Lineage: Eukaryota; Metazoa; Chordata; Mammalia; Rodentia; Muridae
Product: predicted gene, 54054
Exons: 4
Source: RefSeq, a predicted model, not a curated record